ACUGCUAGGUUAGAUAUCAAAUCCGUAAUUGUUUGAUCCCUCUAAUCUGUGAAGCAACUAAGAUCUAAUAAUUUGCUGCAUCAGAAAUUUUCAGAUCUUAGGAAGAAUACUCGGCUAAAUCAAAUGCAACCGCUUGUGUUUGUGUUGUUUAGCUUCAUCGAUCUCUCUAAUUCUUAAGGCUGCUACUAGAUUAAACCUUUAGCGCUUGUCUUGGGUUGUUUAGUAGUUAGGGUUAAUUAGAUCGCUUGUUUUUAAUUAACUACAACUAAGAAGAGAUAGAAAAAUAUUUCUAUCGGUGGACAUUCAAAGUGCAAAUUGAUAUUUUUNNNNNNNNNNNNNNNNNNNNUUGUGUUUUGUUGUUGUUUAGCUUCAUCGAUCUCUCUAAUUCUUAAGGCUGCUACUAGAUUAAACCUUUAGCGCUUGUCUUGGGUUGUUUAGUAGUUAGGGUUAAUUAGAUCGCUUGUUUUUAAUUAACUACAACUAAGAAGAGAUAGAAAAAUAUUUCUAUCGGUGGACAUUCAAAGUGCAAAUUGAUAUUUUUGCAUCAAUGAUCAGUUGUAAAAUUUCGAUGGUGGAUGUUGACUUAGACCAAGAUUUGUUCUUUUGAUU
This 609-nucleotide long non-coding RNA is filed under the name Phoenix dactylifera (date palm). RNAcentral's name for it is "long non-coding RNA (PDAC_LNC008627)". The record is from RNAcentral. Lineage: Eukaryota; Viridiplantae; Streptophyta; Magnoliopsida; Arecales; Arecaceae.